RNAcentral lists this ribosomal RNA (1388 nucleotides) under uncultured bacterium. RNAcentral describes it as "16S ribosomal RNA". It matches the Rfam family "Bacterial small subunit ribosomal RNA". The record is from RNAcentral.
AGAGUUUGAUCCUGGCUCAGGAUGAACGCUGGCGGCGUGCUUAACACAUGCAAGUCGAACGAAGCACUUUAUUUGAUUUCUUCGGAAUGAAGAUUUUGUGACUGAGUGGCGGACGGGUGAGUAACGCGUGGGUAACCUGCCUCAUACAGGGGGAUAACAGUUGGAAACGACUGCUAAUACCGCAUAAGCGCACAGGGUCGCAUGACCUGGUGUGAAAAACUCCGGUGGUAUGAGAUGGACCCGCGUCUGAUUAGCCAGUUGGUGGGGCAACGGCCUACCAAAGCGACGAUCAGUAGCCGACCUGAGAGGGUGACCGGCCACAUUGGGACUGAGACACGGCCCAAACUCCUACGGGAGGCAGCAGUGGGGAAUAUUGCACAAUGGGGGAAACCCUGAUGCAGCGACGCCGCGUGAGCGAAGAAGUAUUUCGGUAUGUAAAGCUCUAUCAGCAGGGAAGAAGAAAUGACGGUACCUGACUAAGAAGCACCGGCUAAAUACGUGCCAGCAGCCGCGGUAAUACGUAUGGUGCAAGCGUUAUCCGGAUUUACUGGGUGUAAAGGGAGCGCAGGCGGUACGGCAAGUCUGAUGUGAAAGCCCGGGGCUCAACCCCGGUACUGCAUUGGAAACUGUCGGACUAGAGUGUCGGAGGGGUAAGUGGAAUUCCUAGUGUAGCGGUGAAAUGCGUAGAUAUUCGGAGGAACACCAGUGGCGAAGGCGGCCUGCUGGGCUUUAACUGACGCUGAGGCUCGAAAGUGUGGGGAGCAAACAGGAUUAGAUACCCUGGUAGUCCACACUGUAAACGAUGAUUGCUAGGUGCGGGGGGUCUGACCUCUUCCGUGCCGGAGUUAACGCAAUAAGCAAUCCACCUGGGGAGUACGGCCGCAAGGUUGAAACUCAAAGGAAUUGACGGGGGCCCGCACAAGCAGUGGAUUAUGUGGUUUAAUUCGACGCAACGCGAAGAACCUUACCAGGUCUUGACAUCCAACGAAUCCUUAAGAGAUUAGGGAGUGCCUUUCGGGGAACGUUGAGACAGGUGGUGCAUGGUUGUCGUCAGCUCGUGUCGUGAGAUGUUGGGUUAAGUCCCGCAACGAGCGCAACCCCUGCCAUUAGUUGCUACGCAAGAGCACUCUAAUGGGACCGCUACCGACAAGGUGGAGGAAGGUGGGGACGACGUCAAAUCAUCAUGCCCCUUAUGACCUGGGCUACACACGUAAUACAAUGGCCGUUAACAACGGGAGGCAAAACCGCGAGGUAGAGCAAAACCCUAAAAACGGUCCCAGUUCGGAUCGCAGGCUGCAACCCGCCUGCGUGAAGUUGGAAUUGCUAGUAAUCGCGGAUCAGCAUGCCGCGGUGAAUACGUUCCCGGGCCUUGUACACACCGCCCGUCA